GGGGCUGUCGGCUAGCCAGGUCUAGAGGACAAUAUCCUCGAGGCGUCCGGACAGGCCGCGUGGCUUGGGAGCGUAUCGUCGCGCCAGGAGCCCACGAAAUCGCAGGUUCAAAUCCUGCCAGCCCCACCA
RNAcentral lists this transfer RNA (129 nucleotides) under Candidatus Bathyarchaeota archaeon. RNAcentral's name for it is "tRNA-OTHER". It matches the Rfam family "tRNA". From Rfam's summary of the family: Transfer RNA (tRNA) molecules are approximately 80 nucleotides in length. Lineage: Archaea; Thermoproteati; Candidatus Bathyarchaeota. RNAcentral also lists the same sequence under 1 other name. The record is from RNAcentral.